Pelobates cultripes (western spadefoot toad) is the source of this 295-nucleotide non-coding RNA. Lineage: Eukaryota; Metazoa; Chordata; Amphibia; Anura; Pelobatidae. The record is from the annotation of a GenBank genome assembly.
CUUUCUGCUACCUGGUAUAAUAGCCCACCAUUCCACAUAAAUCUUUCCCCCUCUAAUCCUGCAUGACUGGUGGCUACCUUAUCUCUGUACUUCUGCAGGGAGGGAUCAGAUGCUACCUUCCUUUUCAAUGGCCUCUGGAGUAUUCCAGGAAAGGGGGGCUGGGGUUACAGUAACGCGACGUCAUCCUACCCGAGCCUCGGAUUGAGAGCGAUCCUGAGCGGUUCUGGCUUGUAGUCAUGUGGUAAAGUUCCUCAUCGUCUGGACGAAGUACAAAGGUGGAGGUCAACAGGCCCAG